CCUACGGGUGGCUGCAGUGAGGAAUAUUGGUCAAUGGGCGCGAGCCUGAACCAGCCAAGUAGCGUGAAGGAUGACUGCCCUACGGGUUGUAAACUUCUUUUAUAAAGGAAUAAAGUGAGGCACGUGUGCCUUUUUGUAUGUACUUUAUGAAUAAGGAUCGGCUAACUCCGUGCCAGCAGCCGCGGUACUACGGAGGAUCCGAGCGUUAUCCGGAUUUAUUGGGUUUACAGGGAGCGUAGAUGGGUUGUUAAGUCAGUUGUGCAAGUUUGCGGCUCAACCGUAAAAUUGCAAUUGAUACUGGCAGCCUUGAUUACAGUUGCGGUCGGCGGAAUUCGUGGUGUAGCGGUGAAAUGCUUAGAUAUCACGAAGAACUCCGAUUGCGCAGGCAGCUUACCAAUCUAUAUCUGCCGUUGAGGCACGAAAGCGUGGGGAGCAAACAGGAUUAGAUACCCCGGUAGUC
RNAcentral lists this ribosomal RNA (460 nucleotides) under uncultured bacterium. RNAcentral describes it as "partial 16S ribosomal RNA". It matches the Rfam family "Bacterial small subunit ribosomal RNA", at positions 338 to 795 of the family's 1533-position model. The record is from RNAcentral.